AUUGAAGCAAUAGUGUUAUAGAUGUGUUUUGUGCUGAAAAAACAUUAUAUUUAUCGCGAAGAUAAAGAUAAAGCGUCCACAUAAUCUGGCAUUUUAAAAGGGUUAGAAAUCCGCGUGCUCAUCGUAUAUCAUAUAUUUUGAACGUGCUUCUGAAUGCAUGACUGACCAGCUUUGAUCCCUUUUGACAAUCUUACUUCACUUGAAUCAUUUGCUUGCACAGUCCGAAACAGCCACUAUUGGAAACCUGAACUUUUUGUUUUGGUUGAUGGCCUAUGUUUUGGACCAUUAGAUUAGAACUCUCCUAGCCGUUGAGCAAUGUUGAUGUCAUCUGUAAGUAUCCUGCUAAUGUCAUAGUUUAAUUCAUCUGAUAAUGUACACCUCUUUAAACCA
RNAcentral lists this long non-coding RNA (390 nucleotides) under Mytilus galloprovincialis (Mediterranean mussel). Lineage: Eukaryota; Metazoa; Mollusca; Bivalvia; Mytilida; Mytilidae. The record is from RNAcentral.